This 440-nucleotide ribosomal RNA is filed under the name uncultured bacterium. Its description in RNAcentral is "partial 16S ribosomal RNA". It matches the Rfam family "Bacterial small subunit ribosomal RNA", at positions 338 to 795 of the family's 1533-position model. The record is from RNAcentral.
CCUACGGGAGGCAGCAGUAGGGGAUAUUGCACAAUGGGGGAAACCCUGAUGCAGCGACGCCGCGUGGGUGAAGAAGCGCUUCGGCUCGUAAAGCUCUGUCAUCUGGGAAGAAAAUGACGGUAGCUGAAGAAGAAGCUCCGGCUAACUACGUGCCAGCAGCCGCGGUAAUACGUAGGGGGCGAGCGGUAUCCGGAUUUACUGGGUGUAAAGGGGGCGCAGACGGCUUGGCAAGCCAGGAGUGAAAGCCAUGGGCUCAACCCCGGGACUGCUCUUGGAACUGGGGGGCUAGAGUGCAGGAGGGGCAGGCGGAAUUCCUGGUGUAGCGGUGAAAUGCGUAGAGAUCGGGAGGAACACCAGUGGCGAAGGCGGCCUGCUGGGCUGUAACUGACGUUGAGGCCCGAAAGCGUGGGGAGCAAACAGGAUUAGAUACCCUGGUAGUC